Molecule: non-coding RNA, 69 nt
Organism: Ictidomys tridecemlineatus (thirteen-lined ground squirrel)
Lineage: Eukaryota; Metazoa; Chordata; Mammalia; Rodentia; Sciuridae
Source: Rfam
GGGGUUGUGGCUCAGUGGUAGAGCGCUUACCUCUCAUGUGUGAGAUCCUGGGUUCGAUCCUCAGCACCA